Molecule: long non-coding RNA, 807 nt
Organism: Lolium perenne
Lineage: Eukaryota; Viridiplantae; Streptophyta; Magnoliopsida; Poales; Poaceae
Source: RefSeq, a predicted model, not a curated record
CAAAUGUAGCCUACAUGUAUGCGGGUAAGUUUAAUGAAACUCUCUGGUGUACAUGAUGCGGAGAUUGGGAGAGAAACAGAAAAAAAGCCAAGUGAGCAAUCUAAAUGGUGAGAAGCAAAAUGGUGUGAGAAUACUGUGAACGGGAGCGGUAGAAUCGUAGAUGGGGGACGGAGACGGCCGCCGUGAGAGUGGACGGCCACCAGCUUCAUGGGUAGAAUGCCCUCUGUACUCUGCUCGUUUCUUCUUCAACGACAUCGCCGCCUUGGGCAGGACGGCGGAUCCAGACUCUCGGCAGCUAGUCGGAGAUCUAGCGUUGGGGAGCCGAGGCCGGCCUUCAUCAGUGUGGGCUCCUUGCCGAGCUGGGGCAGUGGCCGGUGCUGGAGCUGCUGUGCGCGCCCUUGUCCGAUGCAGAGCAGCCAGCAAGCUAACGGGAGCAUGAUGGAUCGUGGAUUGAGCCAUCAGUGAUAGGUUGAGAAACUGAUCAAGGAAUUACCAACAACAAGCCUAGCUGGGUGACGGGCAGCACGGCGGUGCGGGUUAGCGAGAAAGUUGAUUGUUCUAGUGAUAGUGUUCUUGCAGAUUUCAAUUUUGUGUCACAACCAGUAAUUAUUGGUGAAAAAGGUGAAGAAAAUGCAAACGAAAAUGAAGAUUAUGAUGAUGAUGAUGAUGAAAGUGAAAAAAUGCAGAAGCUAGAGCUUAGUUAUAGGGAUAGAAAAGGAGCCUGAUAAUAUGUUGGCCCAUAAUAUGUAGCUGUUUGUGUGUAAGGGGAUCUCAUUGAAAGAUGUAUGUGUGAAACUUGAAAUGAAA